Drosophila melanogaster (fruit fly) is the source of this 840-nucleotide non-coding RNA. NCBI's taxonomy places the organism in Eukaryota, Metazoa, Arthropoda, Insecta, Diptera, Drosophilidae. The record is from Ensembl.
CAGCCUUACAGCUUAUUUGGGUGAAAACGUGAAAAGUGUUGGGGUAAUCGACUCAAUUAGCUAUUGCAUAAGCACACUUUGCACACUCCCGCGCCAGCCAAACAAACACCAAACUCAAUUAGAUGCCAUAACUAAAUAAUCACAAACACAUUUACGCCAGCAAGAGCUCUUUUCAGUUGAAGCAGACCGGUUGGUAACCAAGAAACGUGGCAAAAAAAAAAGAAAAGAAAACAGAGAACCAGGUCAACAACAGAAACAACAUGAGCAACAAUUUUGAAACAAUGAAAUGACGACAACGACAGAAGCGGCAAGGCAUGCCUGGAAAAUUGCUUCCAAAUGCUCAGAAGCCAGAGUGGAAAUAUGGGUAGAGUCGGAAAAGUGGGUGGCCUGGGUGGCUGGGGGACAUUCCAACAUGUGACGCACGUGACAAAACUUGUCAAGUGACUUUACUUCACUUUGACUGCGAAUCCCGGCUCUGUUGUCCGUAAACAAGAAGACGGAAUCCCGGCUGUGAAGAAAAAUAGGUUUGUGUGCAUUGCCCAACACAAAAUGCUUAAGAAAACUCUGCUCUUGGUAAAACAAUGAAAGGUGGGGCAAAGAGGAAAAAUCAGUCGCGGCUUGGCUUUUCCGACUUGUUGCGCCUUCGGCUAAAUUAUGACAUCGAGAGUUUUAGGGGAAUGGGAAGUCCUUCGGGACGGACUGAAGUAUUUUUGGAGGAGCAAUGGAGUGGAAUUUUAUGGGACACACAAACAAUCGGGAACGGUUUUAUGAAUUAAAAUUCUUAAAGCGAAUUAGAUAAGAGGCUAAGAGGCUAACUGUAUAUAUAGUUAAUCAAAUUUU